GUGAGGAAUAUUGGUCAAUGGGCGAGAGCCUGAACCAGCCAAGUCGCGUGAAGGAAGAAGGAUCUAUGGUUCGUAAACUUCUUUUGCAGGGGAAUAAAGUGCGGGACGUGUCCUGUUUUGUAUGUACCCUGAGAAUAAGGAUCGGCUAACUCCGUGCCAGCAGCCGCGGUAAUACGGAGGAUCCGAGCGUUAUCCGGAGUUAUUGGGUUUAAAGGGUGCGUAGGUGGUUUGAUAAGUCAGCGGUGAAAGUUUGCAGCUUAACUGUAAAAAUGCCGUUGAAACUGUCGGACUUGAGUGUAAAUGAGGUAGGCGGAAUGCGUGGUGUAGCGGUGAAAUGCAUAGAUAUCACGCAGAACUCCGAUUGCGAAGGCAGCUUACUAAGCUACAACUGACACUGAAGCACGAAAGCGUGGGGAUCAAACAGGAUUAGAUACCCCGGAAGUCC
This 445-nucleotide ribosomal RNA is filed under the name uncultured bacterium. RNAcentral describes it as "partial 16S ribosomal RNA". It matches the Rfam family "Bacterial small subunit ribosomal RNA", at positions 354 to 796 of the family's 1533-position model. The record is from RNAcentral.